Felis catus (domestic cat) is the source of this 85-nucleotide transfer RNA. It matches the Rfam family "tRNA". From Rfam's summary of the family: Transfer RNA (tRNA) molecules are approximately 80 nucleotides in length. Their secondary structure includes four short double-helical elements and three loops (D, anti-codon, and T loops). The record is from Rfam. NCBI's taxonomy places the organism in Eukaryota, Metazoa, Chordata, Mammalia, Carnivora, Felidae.
GCCUGGGUGGCUCAGUCGGUUGAGUGUCUGACUUCAGCUCAGGUCAUGAUCUUGCUGUCCGUGAGUUCAAGUCCCGCAUUGGGCU